GGAGUUCUAUGGCCUUGGUUGCUUUCUAUCAGUGUUGUGACGACACUAAUUGUUCAUAAAUGAUGGAAGAUCCAGUUUCAAUGGAGCCAGAGGAUGACUCGGUCUCCAUAAAGGCGCCAGAUGGCAUGCCCUCUCCUGAGGAUGAGCUUGGCUCCUGUGUGUGCUGUGAUGGUCCCGUUGACAGUGAGCUGGUCACUCUCUCCGAUUUGGUACUGGAGAGUGAGGAACGUCCGGUUCUAGAAGUGCUACAGGAGCUGCUGGCCUGCGCCGACAUUCCACCAAGUUCCCGCCUCUGCCGCCACUGCCUGGCUCGAGUUCUGCGAUACCACCAGCUUUGUGAGGCACUUAGGCAGUUGGAGAGACAGAUGCAGAGUACUUUUCUGGAAGUGACCGCCGCCAGAGGACUGCGCUCAUCGAAGACGCCCGCCGAGUCAUCACCAAUGGUUCUCCUGGAUGCUCCCUCCUCCCCACCCUCUGCCCUGCCCUCCCCUCCUCUUCCCUCUCCUCCUGCUCCAUCAUGUCCUCCCAUUCCAACAUCUCCACCACCUAAACUGUCAUCAUCUCAGGAUGAUAGAAGUCCUGACCGUGAGGAAAAGCCCGAGGAUCUCGCUGGUGGCGGUGUGGUAUAUGCGGAGCCUGUUGUUAGUGAGUCAGUAAAGGAAGAUCCGGCUGGGGCAGAGCUCAACAUUAGUAUACAAGUACUGCAGCCGCCGCCACCGGUCGAGUCAGUGCAGCCGGUGGUACGCCCGACGGGCACCCGGCCUCCUCUACCCUGUCCGGAGCCGGGCUGUGGCCGCUCCUUCCCCAGCCGCUCUGUGCUGGAGGAACAUGUUCACAGGUGGCACGGCCCGCCCGGACCCCGGUGUCCAGAGUGUACACUCGUGUUUGACACGGAACGGGAGAUGGAGAAACAUGUGGCGGCGGUGCACAAGGCGGGCGCCGCGCAGUACAGUUGUGGCGAGUGUGAUCAGCAGUUCCAUCUGGAGUCUGAGCUAAAGCAACAUCAGAGGAGCGAACAUGAAAAGCAGCGGAUCAUCAGGUGUCGCCACUGCCGUAAGACUUUCAGGUCUCGUAAUGCGUACCUGGAGCAUCAGACCAAACACAACGGCCAGAAUAUGAUCGACUGUCCUGUAUGCAGUGAAAAGUUCCGAACCAGAGCCUGUCUGAACCAGCACAAAUUGGUACACCGAAAGCACGGCCGGGUCCACUCCUGUGACCAGUGCGGUGGGAAGUUCGCCACUGUGGGACGGCUGAGGACGCAUGAGAUGCGAGAGCACGGCGUGGAACAGCCCUGGAGAUGUGAGGCAGACGGCUGUACCAAAUCGUUCAAGUCGAGCGCGGCGCUGGAGGUUCACUCGGUCCAACACACAGGCGAGCGACCGUUCAGCUGCCAGCAGUGUGGAAAGCGGUUUGUCACCAAACACAGACUGAAGGCGCACUUCAGAAUUCACACAGGAGAGCGGCCGUACCAGUGCGCUCAGUGUGGCAGGCAGUUCCGGUACAAGUCCAACCUGCUACAGCACAACACCGCGCACCAACAGACGGAGCGGAGCCACCGCUGCCCCGACUGUGGCCGCACAUUCCGUAAACCAGGCCAACUGGAGACCCACCGCAGCAGCUGCCAGUCCAACUCUGAAGCACCGCCCGCCACCCCGGCUACUACUGUGUCCACCCGACGGACGCCGCUCACCAAACAGUACAAGUGUUCGAUAUGUUACCGAGCGUUCUUACGGCUGGACAACCUCAGGACACACAUGUUCAUUCACUCUGAGAAGAAGCCCUUCGAGUGCCGCGUCUGUGGACUGGGAUUUGUACGUCGGUCGCAGCUGCGUGCGCACAUGCAGGCACUAGGCCAUGGCGAGGGGGUGUCCGACUACAUUAUUAAUGAGGCUGUGUUUGUGAUGAGCGAGGCUCAGGAGGCUUCAGAGCAGCGAUCAGUGCGGCUCAUCUCAGCAAGACCUACUCAGAUGGUGAAUGUCGUACAAUCCAACGGAGCUCAACUAGCCACCACCGACCCCAACCUGACUCGCAUCUUCGUGAAAACCAUCACACCAAACACAGUAACAGGACGUCCUGUUGGACUAGUCCGUGACGAUCAACAAAUACUCUUCAAAACUGCCUCCCCUCAGUCAGAAGAAGUGGACUCGCCCCGCGCUGUAACCACCGAACAGAUUGUCUUCAGGGACUCCCCUCAGCCGUAUUUGGACUCGCCCAGAAUUGUACAGUUGGAUGAUGAACAGAUUAUAUUCAAGCCAGAGUCUCCUCGAGUUGAGCUGGGUGCGUCGGAGUCAUGCUCUCAGGAUAGCUAAAGCUCCAGUAAAUGAAUAAGCUCAUGCAUCCCAAGAAAUAAGGAUCCUGCCCAAGAAUGAGUGGAAGUCGGAUUUCGGAUCACCUCGCCAUCAGCUCUGAUGUGAGUUCUGGGAGGAAUGCUGCAGGCAUGCUGACAGAUCAUAAAGAAAAAUUGUCUACGUCUGAACCAUCUGUCCUGCACGCCAAUACCAGCUAUUUUCAAACGCUGACGAAUCGGACCAUCACAAAUCACAAGACUGGAAUGCCAAUGACGCCUCCUAUGGCCUGUGUCACGUGAGGUCGGAAAAACGUUCAAACACAUGUAAAUUCGGCGUAAACGUGAUUGUAAUUGAAAUUGCUCAUGAGUAAUGCAGAAUGAAUCAAUCUAAAAUCAGUAGUAAUGUGAGUAGGUAUGUACUUGUGUGUAUGUACUUGUGUGUAUGUGCGAUACUGAUGUGUGCAUGAUGUGUGAACCAGAUUUAACAUCACCAGGGCCAACUGGCAUUCGUGAUUGUUGUAAUACAUGAUACACAUGAU
This 2826-nucleotide unclassified non-coding RNA is filed under the name Amphibalanus amphitrite. RNAcentral's name for it is "zinc finger protein 250-like, transcript variant X4". The record is from RNAcentral. Lineage: Eukaryota; Metazoa; Arthropoda; Thecostraca; Balanomorpha; Balanidae.